AUUGUUACAAGUUUCUUGCUCCUUUUGAAAGAAUCUGUGACUAAAUUUUUAAGAGAUACACAUUUAUUAAACUCUUAUGCAUGAGGUGCUGUGCUAAGGACUAGGGAGACAAAAACAGGAGGCCUUACUUCAACCUUCCAUUAUGAUGAAGAAAACAGACAAAAGGGGUGGGAUGGGAGGAGAGGGACAAGGAAAAGUUUUUUGGAAAAAGGUAAUUUUUAUACUGAAUCUUAAAGGAAGACAGGCUAUGAGGAAGAACACUUUUGGCUUUGGGAGUUGGAAUGGUCAUGAAUAAAGCACAGCUGAAAGCAAGAGCUGUUGUAUCAGAUUAUAUGGAAGGGGAAGCAAAUAUAAGAAAAUUGUAAUGUGGUAGGAUGGGGUCAGCCAAAAUGAGGACAAUAAUGGCAUGUCCCAAAAGUCUUAGAACCAUUUUAAAUUAUUAAAGUUUUAAGCUACUAAAACAUAAAGCUGCAUUAAGAUCUACAGAAUGUCCCAAAUUCUGAGAUUCAAACUUAUUGCAAUAAUGUAUCUAUGGGAACUGAAAUCAAGUGAAAAGUAUAGAAAAGAAUGCUAAGGGAAGACUCUUGAGUGAGUAGCUAAUACGUGCAGCUCAGGUAAAGACUACCUAAAGAGGUGAAAACUAAAUAAUAGUUGGAACAGGACAGGAGUAUUAGCUGGGCUGAUUAAGUAUAACAGUUAUUAAGGUAGGUAAGGGGAAAAAAAAACAAAACCAAAACUCUGUGCUUGCAUGAGACCAAUCGAAUGUAUCCAGGCUUCUGAGACUUUCCUAUUUAGUGACCUGAUUAGUUUUUGGUAAUCCAGGACCAAAUGUUCCAGAAAAAAGCAGGAAAUAUAUUAGCAUGCUUUUGUUUCUGAAUUUAAUGAGAUCCUGCAAGUUCUUUUAGUGUCAUGCUAAAUAAAAACUUGUUUUCUACCUAGAAGUUAUUCUGAAUGUUGAAACAUUCAUUGAAUAUUGAAUCUGGAGUCAAAACCUGGAUUCAAAUCCUGUCUCUAAUGCUUUCUACCUAAGUCACUCAAUUUUCUUGGGCUUCAGUUUCCUUUCUGCCAAAUGAAUGAUAGGUGUUUCUGAGCUCUGUUCUGAAUCCAACAUUUUGUGUGUAUUAUACACUAAAAACUUAUAUAGGAGUUGACUUUAUGGUAAAAGGAUGGGUGGUGGGGGAGAAGGAAUGAAGAAGGGGAAGGGGGAAAAUCUGAUAAAGUUUAUAAAAAUAAAAAAUGAGGCUUUCAACAAAAUAAUCCUGCAAAGCAGAGGGUAAUAGGGAAAUAAUUCUACUUUGUGUAGAAACAAACACACACACACACACACACACUCUUUCUGAUAAAAAGAACAGAACUAGCUUAAAUUUGAGAAGUAAAAAAAAAAAAAAAAAAAAUUGAGAGAAACCAAAACGGUAAAUUUACUUGGCCAAUAGUAUUAUAUUGUGAAGUCCUUUUCUAACAUUGUAAUAGGGAGCAAAAAAACAAGGGCCCUCUCAAAACCUGAAUGUUUCCAAAGGAUACUGAGGAAACUAGAGGGGAGAAAAAAAGACUUGGGAGUAAGAUUGGUUUCAUUUCAAGAGGUUGAAGAAGGGAGAGAGAAGGGAGGGGUAAAAGUAAUAUAUUAACAUAAGAAGAGUUAGAGGAUAAGGCUUGCUAUUUUUCAAAGCUGGUGUGGGUAAGGAUAUAUAAAUAUAAGGCGAGAAAAGGUGGUGGGAGAAAAAGGUAGUACUUAAAUGUUACUUUUAUCUGAACCAAAAGGAGGAGAAUUGGACACAGUUUAAUGCAGAAACACAAAAUUCAACAAAGGAAACAGUUAAGAAAGGAUGUCAGGAAGAAGAUGGUUAUAAAUAGACUAAACUUACUGGUCUUAAAGAAUGUGUCUAAAGAAAAGGGGAGAGAGGGAAACAAAAACCAGUAACUAAGCAAGUGUUCAUCAAUUCUGGAAGGUCUGGUGCAUUGAUAGAGUUGAAUUUUUUUUAUGCUUAUAGAAGUGACAAAUGACUUAGAGAAUCUUGAGUUAGUACGAACAGAGUAAAAUAAGAGUAAAAACAAAAAAACAAAAAAAUGGAAAAAAAAAAAAACCCAGGAGAAUGAAUUAUGCAAUGACAACAUUUCAGAGAGAAACUAAUUUUGAGUCAAAGCAAUGGACGUCUCCAGACAAUUGGUAGACUUGGGGUAUAAAAUGAGAAACUUUUUAGGCGUGGCUUCUGUGUGGAUUUAUUUCUCAAUUACGCUUCUUAGUAGAGGAUAAGAAAAUGGUUAUCAGUGAUGUACAUUGAAACUUUUUUAUUUAAUGUACAGAGGGAAAAGAUGUUAAGAAAACAUUUUUAAAAAGGCCAUUUUGAAAGUAAUGUGUUGACACUUUCCAGACUCAACACCUGACCUGGACUAUGGUUCUUAAACCACUUUCCAGAUCUAUCUAUUCAUUGCAGUGUGAAGAAAGGCCCUUGGGGAUGAGGCAGGAAGUAGUUGGAGAUUUGGAGUCUUUAAAAACCGUGGCUGGUCCUAAGUAUCUGCUUUUUGUCUUUCUUGUGUCAGUGUCUAUAUGGUAACUAGAUGGACCUCAUGCUUGAACACAUGUUAUCUUUUCAUCAUUGGGGCAUUAUUUGGCUUAUUUUCAAAGUCAGAUUCUGUGAGCAAUGAGGUAGAUUGUUUUUUUGAAAAUUGGAAUCCUUGCUCUUUAUUUUCUUAUACCUCUUUUCAUUUUUCCACAGACUUUCAAACACAGCUGACAGAUCCCUUAAGGAUGGAAUCUAUGCAUGGGUCUCUGAUAUGUUGUGAUAGGGAAUUUGAAUUCUUGAAAAGCAAAGCAACUGAUAUUUUUGACUUUAAGUUCACCCUUUGUAAAAUAAAAGAAGCAAUGAAGAGAACUAUGCUUCUGGACUCUGUUCUGAGCAAUGGAGGAAAAAAAAAUUGCUAAAGUAAACAUGAUGAUGGUCGUUCCUGAGGACUUGGAUGUUAAGAUUACCUAGCACCUUCCUUACCCCAUUGAGCCUAUGCCAGCUACCAUUACCGGUAUGUCUCCAUAAGGAAAGAGGGAGAUAGUGUUGGUCUGUGUAACAACUAGUUUUGUAAGGAGAAAUUGGCAAGUAAACUCAUAUUGGGAACUCAUUGAACAAUGAAAUGCCUCAGAUGGUGAUCCAAGGAUGGGCCUCUGGAAGGAAAGGGCAUUUAAUGGGAAGUCUGCCAUGCCCCACCUCCUUUGCAUGUAAGAGAAGGCUUCUUUUUUC
This is a long non-coding RNA of Sarcophilus harrisii (Tasmanian devil), 3230 nucleotides long. RefSeq lists it as uncharacterized. The transcript has 4 exons. The record is from RefSeq and is a predicted model, not a curated record. NCBI's taxonomy places the organism in Eukaryota, Metazoa, Chordata, Mammalia, Dasyuromorphia, Dasyuridae.